GAUAGUUACCUGGUUGAUUCUGCCAGUAGUCAUAUGCUUGUCUCAAAGAUUAAGCCAUGCAUGUCUAAGUAUAAGCAAUUAUACCGCGAAACUGCGAAUGGCUCAUUAUAUAAGUUAUCGUUUAUUUGAUAGCACAUUACUACAUGGAUAACUGUGGUAAUUCUAGAGCUAAUACAUGCUAAAAAUCCCGACUUCGGAAGGGAUGUAUUUAUUAGAUUAAAAGCCAACGCCCUUCGGGGCUUCCUGGUGAUUCAUAAUAACUUUUCGAAUCGCAUGGCCUUGCGCCGGCGAUGGUUCAUUCAAAUUUCUUCCCUAUCAACUUUCGAUGCGAAGGUAUUGUCUUCGCAUGGUUGCAACGGGUAACGGAGGGUUAGGGCUC
Molecule: ribosomal RNA, 379 nt
Filed under: Lomentospora prolificans
Lineage: Eukaryota; Fungi; Ascomycota; Sordariomycetes; Microascales; Microascaceae
Description: SSU rRNA
Rfam family: Eukaryotic small subunit ribosomal RNA
Source: RNAcentral